This 300-nucleotide long non-coding RNA is filed under the name Elaeis guineensis (African oil palm). Its description in RNAcentral is "long non-coding RNA (EGUI_LNC045778)". The record is from RNAcentral. Lineage: Eukaryota; Viridiplantae; Streptophyta; Magnoliopsida; Arecales; Arecaceae.
UAUACAUUCGACCUAUCCGGUCGUCGGGUACCAUUGCUAGAUGGUCACUUCGAUUGGUACAGAAAUUUAUUCCUGUGCUACCGACUUAGGUUCGGACCUAUGAGGUUACACACAUUAGAGUUCAUGAUCCGAUCGGAUGGUUGAUCAAUGAUUAAGAAUCAUUCUAGGGUUAAAUGAUCAAUACGAUUGACAUUUAACCCAGUGCAAGUGUUGCAGGAGGAUCGAUUAGCAAUUCGAUUGCUAAUUGGCUUAAUUUGAUUAAGCCAAUGGGCUGAGAUUAAGUCUAAUUAAAUAUGANNN